AAGGAAUAUUGGUCAGUGGACGCAAGUCUGAACCAGCCAUGCCGCGUGAAGGAUUAAGGCCCUCUGGGUUGUAAACUUCUUUUAUAGGGGAAGAAAUGUGACGGUUCUCCGUCACUUGACGGUACCCUGGGAAUAAGCACCGGCUAACUCCGUGCCAGCAGCCGCGGUAAUACGGAGGGUGCAAGCGUUAUCCGGAUUCACUGGGUUUAAAGGGUGCGUAGGUGGGCAGAUAAGUCAGUGGUGAAAUCUUCCGGCUUAACCGGGAAACUGCCGUUGAUACUAUUUGUCUUGAAUAUUGCGGAGGUAAGCGGAAUAUGUCAUGUAGCGGUGAAAUGCUUAGAUAUGACAUAGAACACCUAUUGCGAAGGCAGCUUACUACACAAUCAUUGACACUGAGGCACGAAAGCGUGGGUAGCGAACA
This 421-nucleotide ribosomal RNA is filed under the name uncultured bacterium. Its description in RNAcentral is "bacterial SSU rRNA". It matches the Rfam family "Bacterial small subunit ribosomal RNA", at positions 356 to 774 of the family's 1533-position model. The record is from RNAcentral.